Molecule: ribosomal RNA, 674 nt
Filed under: Anaerolineae bacterium
Lineage: Bacteria; Bacillati; Chloroflexota; Anaerolineae
Description: bacterial SSU rRNA
Rfam family: Bacterial small subunit ribosomal RNA
Source: RNAcentral
ACGGAGAGUUUGAUCCUGGCUCAGGAUGAACGCUGGCGGCGUGCCUAAUACAUGCAAGUCGAGCGAUGAGGCCCCUUCGGGGGUACAUCAGCGGCGAACGGGUGAGUAACACGUAGGUGACCUGCCCCGAAGAGGGGGAUAACCACUGGAAACGGUGGCUAAUACCCCAUGUGCUCGGCGAUUCGCUUCGUCGAGUAAAGCUCCGGCGCUUCGGGAGGGGCCUGCGGCCCAUCAGCUAGUUGGUAGGGUAAUGGCCUACCAAGGCGAAGACGGGUAGGGGGCGUGAGAGCGCGACCCCCCACACUGGCACUGAGACACGGGCCAGACUCCUACGGGAGGCAGCAGUAGGGAAUAUUGCACAAUGGGCGAAAGCCUGAUGCAGCGACGCCGCGUGGGCGAUGAAGGCCUUCGGGUUGUAAAGCCCUUUUCUGGGGGAAGAGANNCCAGGAAGAAGGCCCGGCUAACUACGUGCCAGCAGCCGCGGUAAAACGUAGGGGGCAAGCGUUAUCCGGAUUUACUGGGCGUAAAGAGCGUUGAGGCGGUUCCGUAAGUUGGGCGUGAAAGCCCCGGGCUCAACCCGGGGAGGUCGUUCAAUACUGCGGAGCUUGAGGGCAGCAGAGGGAGGUGGAAUUCCCGGUGUAGUGGUGAAAUGCGUAGAUAUCGGGAGGAACACC